GUGAAUCAUCGAAUUUUUGAACGCAAAUUGCACUCUCCGGUUUUCCGGGAGAGUAUGCCUGUUUGAGGGUCAGCCUAAAAAAAAUCGACAUUGUUGCUGUUAUUUAAUGGUGACUUUCGUCGGAGAUUGGGUUAUCUUAGACCUUUUUUUUUUUUUUUGUUUUAAGCAACUUAAAUUUUUUUUUCACGAUUCCUUGAACGUUUUUAAG
RNAcentral lists this unclassified non-coding RNA (208 nucleotides) under Funneliformis geosporum. Its description in RNAcentral is "partial contains 5.8S ribosomal RNA and internal transcribed spacer 2". The stretch from base 1 to 72 matches the Rfam family "5.8S ribosomal RNA", at positions 84 to 154 of the family's 154-position model. The record is from RNAcentral. Lineage: Eukaryota; Fungi; Glomeromycota; Glomeromycetes; Glomerales; Glomeraceae.